Molecule: ribosomal RNA, 303 nt
Filed under: uncultured bacterium
Lineage: Bacteria
Description: partial 16S ribosomal RNA
Rfam family: Bacterial small subunit ribosomal RNA
Source: RNAcentral
AGCAGUAGCCACGGGAAUACGAAGGGGGCUAGCGUUGUUCGGAAUUACUGGGCGUAAAGCGCACGUAGGCGGCUUGGUAAGUUAGAGGUGAAAGCCCGGAGCUCAACUCCGGAAUUGCCUUUAAGACUGCCGAGCUAGCAGGUGAGAGAGGUAAGUGGAAUUCCGAGUGUAGAGGUGAAAUUCGUAGAUAUUCGGAAGAACACCAGUGGCGAAGGCGGCUUUCUGGCUCAUACUGGACGCUGAGGUGCGAAAGCGUGGGGAGCAAACAGGAUUAGAUACCCCGGUAGUCCCUGUCUCUUAUAC